AGGUAAAUGGAGACUUUGAAAGAUUGCUGAGCAUCUUGCCAAGAGUCCUUCAGCUAGGGGUGACAUGGGGAUUUGAGUCCAGGUCUGAUUCUAAAGGCCACAGUCGUAUUACACAUCUCAACCUCAUGAAUGGGUUUCUUCUUGUGGCUGCUACCAAGACUUCAGGGUAAGAACAAGAUUGGAAUGUAGUAUAAGAAGGGUUUAACUGAGAUGAAGAUUGUAUGGGGAAGAAAGAAGUUGGAGAGCUU
This 248-nucleotide long non-coding RNA is filed under the name Cavia porcellus (domestic guinea pig). RNAcentral describes it as "lncRNA (ENSCPOG00000034786.1)". Lineage: Eukaryota; Metazoa; Chordata; Mammalia; Rodentia; Caviidae. The record is from RNAcentral.